ACCCGCUGAACUUAAGCAUAUCAAUAAGCGGAGGAGAAA
RNAcentral lists this ribosomal RNA (39 nucleotides) under uncultured Termitomyces. RNAcentral's name for it is "partial 28S ribosomal RNA". The record is from RNAcentral. Lineage: Eukaryota; Fungi; Basidiomycota; Agaricomycetes; Agaricales; Lyophyllaceae.